RNAcentral lists this ribosomal RNA (253 nucleotides) under uncultured bacterium. RNAcentral's name for it is "partial 16S ribosomal RNA". It matches the Rfam family "Bacterial small subunit ribosomal RNA", at positions 524 to 776 of the family's 1533-position model. The record is from RNAcentral.
GACAGAGGGUGCAAACGUUGUUCGGAAUUACUGGGCGUAAAGCGUGUGUAGGCGGCUAUGUAAGUCGGAUGUGAAAGCCCCGGGCUCAACUCGGGAAGUGCACUCGAUACUGCGUAGCUAGAGUACCGGAGAGGUUGGUGGAAUUCUCGGUGUAGAGGUGAAAUUCGUAGAUAUCGAGAGGAACACCGGUGGCGAAGGCGGCCAACUGGACGAGUACUGACGCUGAGACACGAAAGCGUGGGGAGCAAACGGG